AGUGAACGCUGGCGGUAGGCCUAACACAUGCAAGUCGAACGGCAGCACAGUAAGAUCUUUCCCCUACGGGUGGCGAGUGGCGGACGGGUGAGGAAUACAUCGGAAUCUACUUUUUCUUGGGGGACAACGGAGGGAAAAUUACGCUAAUAACGCAUACGACCUACCGGUUAAAUCAGGGGUUCUUCGGACCUUUCCCGACUGAAAUAGCCGAGUCCGGAUUAGAUUGUUUGCGGGGUAAAGGCCCCCCAAGGCGACGCUCCGUAGCGUGUCUGAGGGGAUGAUCAGCCACACUGGAACUGAGACACGGUCCAGACUCCUGCGGGAGGCAGCAGUGGGGAAUAUUGGACAAUGGGCGCAAGCCUGAUCCAGCCAUACCGCGUGGGUGAAGAAGGCCUUCGGGUGGUAAAGCCCUUUGUUGGGAAAGAAAAGCAGCAGGUUAAUACCCCGCUGUUCUGACGGUACCCAAAGAAUAAGCACCGGCUAACUUCGUG
This 491-nucleotide ribosomal RNA is filed under the name uncultured bacterium. RNAcentral describes it as "partial 16S ribosomal RNA". It matches the Rfam family "Bacterial small subunit ribosomal RNA", at positions 29 to 507 of the family's 1533-position model. The record is from RNAcentral.